GGACUACUGGGGUUUCUAAUCCCGUUUGCUCCCCUGGCUUUCGCGCAUCAGCGUCAAUACCGGUCCAGGAUGCCGCCUUCGCCACCGGUGUUCCUCCAGAUAUCUACGCAUUUCACCGCUACACCUGGAAUUCCGCAUCCCUCUCCCGGAUUCAAGCCCGCCAGUAUCACACGCAGUUCCCCGGUUGAGCCGAGGGAUUUCACGUAUGACUUAGCAGGCCGCCUACGCGCCCUUUACGCCCAGUAAUUCCGAACAACGCUCGCCCCCUCUGUAUUACCGCGGCUGCUGGCAC
RNAcentral lists this ribosomal RNA (292 nucleotides) under uncultured Acidobacteriota bacterium. RNAcentral's name for it is "uncultured Acidobacteria bacterium partial 16S ribosomal RNA". The record is from RNAcentral. Lineage: Bacteria; Pseudomonadati; Acidobacteriota.